ACCUCAGUAACGGCGAGUGAAGCGGUAACAGCUCAAAUUUGAAAUCUGGCCUCACGGUCCGAGUUGUAAUUUGUAGAGGAUGCUUCGAGCAUGGUCUGGCCUAAGUUCCUUGGAACAGGACGUCAUAGAGGGUGAGAAUCCCGUAUGCGGCCAGGUGCCUACGCUCAUGUGAAGCUCCUUCGACGAGUCGAGUUGUUUGGGAAUGCAGCUCAAAAUGGGUGGUAAAUUUCAUCUAAAGCUAAAUAUUGGCCAGAGACCGAUAGCGCACAAGUAGAGUGAUCGAAAGAUGAAAAGCACUUUGGAAAGAGAGUUAAACAGUACGUGAAAUUGUUGAAAGGGAAGCGCUUGCAACCAGACUUGCGCGCGGCCGAUCAUCCGGUGUUCUCACCGGUGCACUCGGCCGUGCUCAGGCCAGCAUCGGUUUUGGCGGCUGGAUAAAGGCCCUAGGAAUGUAGCUCCUCUCGGGGAGUGUUAUAGCCUAGGGUGCAAUGCAGCCUGCUGGGACCGAGGACCGCGCUUCGGCUAGGAUGCUGGCGUAAUGGUUGUAAGCGGCCCGUCUUGAAACACGGACCAAGGAGUCUAACAUCUAUGCGAGUGUUUGGGUGUCAAACCCAUACGCGUAAUGAAAGUGAACGGAGGUGAGAACCCUUAAGGGUGCAUCAUCGACCGGUCCUGAAGUUUACGGAAGGAUCUGAGUAAGAGCAUAGCUGUUGGG
This 715-nucleotide ribosomal RNA is filed under the name Pseudogymnoascus sp. Its description in RNAcentral is "partial large subunit ribosomal RNA". It matches the Rfam family "Eukaryotic large subunit ribosomal RNA", at positions 77 to 813 of the family's 3401-position model. The record is from RNAcentral. Lineage: Eukaryota; Fungi; Ascomycota; Leotiomycetes; Thelebolales; Thelebolaceae.